RNAcentral lists this ribosomal RNA (253 nucleotides) under uncultured bacterium. Its description in RNAcentral is "partial 16S ribosomal RNA". It matches the Rfam family "Bacterial small subunit ribosomal RNA", at positions 524 to 776 of the family's 1533-position model. The record is from RNAcentral.
UACGUAGGCAGCGAGCGUUGUUCGGAAUUACUGGGCGUAAAGGGCGCGUAGGCGGCCUGCUAAGUCGAACGUGAAAUCCCCGGGCUCAACCCGGGAACUGCGUCCGAGACUGGCAGGCUCGAAUCCGGGAGAGGGAUGUGGAAUUCCAGGUGUAGCGGUGAAAUGCGUAGAUAUCUGGAGGAACAUCGGUGGCGAAGGCGGCAUCCUGGACCGGUAUUGACGCUGAGGCGCGAAAGCCAGGGGAGCAAACGGG